AUCACUCUGCAGUGGAAUAAAGUCAACAACAAUGUCAGCUUUGUUCUCCACUUUAAUGGUACAGAGACAAGCAUCAGUGCACCAGCUGGAAAUGGAUCAGUAACUCACACUGUCUCAUCUCUCACUACUGGAACUCGAUACACAUUCACUCUCUACUCUGUGUUUGAGAACAUCAGAAGCAGUGGAGUCAGCAUUACUGCAGUCACUGGGCCUGACUUUAUCAUCGGACUGAACGUGAGACUGAAGUCAUUUCCUCAGCUGUCAGACUCAGAAAUUCAGGAUACACUGGAGGAGUUCUUCAGAAAAAAUGGAUUAUUGCCACAGUUUUUUUCCCUGAAGGUCCGGAAGGUUAAACCAUGACACAAGAAGAGAAAAGAAGUGAUUGAAUGGAAGUGAACAGAUCUGUGCAGCAAAGAAGAAAAGAACGUUUCUUAAGUGCUUUUCAUGUUUAUUAAUUACUUUCCUCAAAAAGGAACUAAAACAAAUUAAUUGUUUAAUUAAUAAAUACAUAAAUAAAAGUAGA
This is a long non-coding RNA of Oreochromis niloticus (Nile tilapia), 523 nucleotides long. RefSeq lists it as uncharacterized. The record is from RefSeq and is a predicted model, not a curated record. Lineage: Eukaryota; Metazoa; Chordata; Actinopteri; Cichliformes; Cichlidae. The transcript has 4 exons.